RNAcentral lists this ribosomal RNA (253 nucleotides) under uncultured bacterium. Its description in RNAcentral is "partial 16S ribosomal RNA". It matches the Rfam family "Bacterial small subunit ribosomal RNA", at positions 524 to 776 of the family's 1533-position model. The record is from RNAcentral.
UACAGAGGUCUCAAGCGUUGUUCGGAUUUAUUGGGCGUAAAGGGUGCGUAGGCGGUCGGGUAAGUCAUAUGUGAAAUCUCGGAGCUCAACUCCGAAACUGCAUGCGAUACUGCCUGGCUAGAGGAAUGGAGAGGAGAUCGGAAUUCUCGGUGUAGCAGUGAAAUGCGUAGAUAUCGAGAGGAACACCAGUGGCGAAGGCGGAUCUCUGGACAUUUCCUGACGCUGAGGCACGAAGGCUAGGGGAGCGAACGGG